GAUGAACGCUGACAGAAUGCUUAACACAUGCAAGUCUUUGGUGAAGCUGUGCUUGCACAGCCUAGCCAAGGCGGACGGGUGAGUAACGCGUAAGGAACUUGCCCUGCAGUCAGGGAUAACAGACGGAAACGACUGAUAAGACCUGGUGAAGUCAGGCGGACUCAUGUCCAGCCUGAUGAAAAGAGAUGCUGCAGGAGAGCCUUGCGUCCUAUUAGCUUGUUGGUGGGGUAACGGCCCACCAAGGCAAUGAUAGGUAGCCGGCCUGAGAGGGUGGACGGCCACAAGGGGACUGAGAUACGGCCCUUACUCCUACGGGAGGCAGCAGUGGGGAAUAUUGGACAAUGGGGGCAACCCUGAUCCAGCAAUUCUGUGUGCACGAUGAAGGUUUUCGGAUUGUAAAGUGCUUUCAGCAGGGAAGAAAAAAAUGACGGUACCUGCAGAAGAAGCGACGGCUAAAUACGUG
RNAcentral lists this ribosomal RNA (463 nucleotides) under uncultured bacterium. RNAcentral describes it as "partial 16S ribosomal RNA". It matches the Rfam family "Bacterial small subunit ribosomal RNA", at positions 28 to 507 of the family's 1533-position model. The record is from RNAcentral.